GCCGGCUUAGCUCAGAGGUUCGAGCAUCGCACUUGUAAUGCGAGGGUCAUCGGUUCAAUUCCGAUAGCCGGCU
This 73-nucleotide transfer RNA is filed under the name Pelargonium x hortorum (zonal geranium). RNAcentral's name for it is "tRNA-Thr". It matches the Rfam family "tRNA". From Rfam's summary of the family: Transfer RNA (tRNA) molecules are approximately 80 nucleotides in length. Their secondary structure includes four short double-helical elements and three loops (D, anti-codon, and T loops). The record is from RNAcentral. Lineage: Eukaryota; Viridiplantae; Streptophyta; Magnoliopsida; Geraniales; Geraniaceae. RNAcentral also lists the same sequence under 1 other name.